UAGGGAAUAUUAGUAAUGGGCGAAAGCCUGAACUAGCAACGCCGCGUGUGCGAAGAAGGCCUUCGGGUUGUAAAGCACUUUUUGAGAGGAUGAGGAAGGACGGUACUCUCAGAAUAAGUCUCGGCUAACUACGUGCCAGCAGCCGCGGUAACACGUACGAGGCAAACGUUAUCCGGAUUUACUGGGCGUAAAGCGCGUGUAGGUGGUUUGGUAAGUAGGGCGUGAAAGCUCCUGGCUGAACUGGUAGAGGAAGUUCUAAAAUGCCUAGCUUGAGGAUGGUGGAGGGAGGUGGAAUUCCGGGUGUAGCGGUGGAAUGCGCAGAUAUCCGGAGGAACGCCAGUGGCGAGUGCGGCCUCCUGGACCACUCCUGACACUCAGACGCGAAAGCUAGGGUAG
This 396-nucleotide ribosomal RNA is filed under the name uncultured bacterium. RNAcentral describes it as "bacterial SSU rRNA". It matches the Rfam family "Bacterial small subunit ribosomal RNA", at positions 355 to 768 of the family's 1533-position model. The record is from RNAcentral.